Molecule: non-coding RNA, 45 nt
Filed under: Trichobilharzia regenti
Lineage: Eukaryota; Metazoa; Platyhelminthes; Trematoda; Strigeidida; Schistosomatidae
Source: RNAcentral
AUUCAUCUGAUGAGUCUUGAGUAGGACGAAAUGUGCAUCAUGAAU